GACGAACGCUGGCGGCGUGCCUAAUACAUGCAAGUAGAACGCUGAAGAGAGGAGCUUGCUCUUCUUGGAUGAGUUGCGAACGGGUGAGUAACGCGUAGGCAACCUGCCUUGUAGCGGGGGAUAACUAUUGGAAACGAUAGCUAAUACCGCAUAACAAUGGAUGACACAUGUCAUUUAUUUGAAAGGGGCAAUUGCUCCACUACAAGAUGGACCUGCGUUGUAUUAGCUAGUAGGUGAGGUAAUGGCUCACCUAGGCGACGAUACAUAGCCGACCUGAGAGGGUGAUCGGCCACACUGGGACUGAGACACGGCCCAGACUCCUACGGGAGGCAGCAGUAGGGAAUCUUCGGCAAUGGGGGCAACCCUGACCGAGCAACGCCGCGUGAGUGGAGAAGGUUUUCGGAUCGUAAAGCUCUGUUGUAAGUCAAGAACGGGUGUGAGAGUGGAAAGUUCACACUGUGACGGUAGCUUACCAGAAAGGGACGGCUAACUACGUG
Molecule: ribosomal RNA, 497 nt
Filed under: uncultured bacterium
Lineage: Bacteria
Description: partial 16S ribosomal RNA
Rfam family: Bacterial small subunit ribosomal RNA
Source: RNAcentral